CCCGCUGAACUUAAGCAUAUCAAUAAGCGGAGGAAAAGAAACUAACAAGGAUUCCCCUAGUAACUGCGAGUGAAGCGGGAAAAGCUCAAAUUUAAAAUCUGGCGGUCCUUGUGGCUGUCCGAGUUGUAAUCUAGAGAAGUGCUAUCCGCGCUGGACCGUGUACAAGUCUCCUGGAAUGGAGCGUCAUAGAGGGUGAGAAUCCCGUCUUUGACACGGACUGCCAGUGCUUUGUGAUGCGCUCUCAAAGAGUCGAGUUGUUUGGGAAUGCAGCUCAAAAUGGGUGGUAAAUUCCAUCUAAAGCUAAAUAUUGGCGAGAGACCGAUAGCGAACAAGUACCGUGAGGGAAAGAUGAAAAGAACUUUGGAAAGAGAGUUAAACAGUACGUGAAAUUGCUGAAGGGGAAACGCUUGAAGUCAGUCGCGUUGUCCGGGGAUCAACCUUGCUUUUGCUGGGCGUACUUUCUGGUUGAUGGGUCAGCAUCAAUUUUGACCAUUGGAAAAAGGUCAAGGGAAUGUGGCAUCUUCGGAUGUGUUAUAGCCCUUGGUUGCAUACAAUGGUUGGGAUUGAGGAACUCAGCACGCCGCAAGGCCGGGUUUUUAACCACGUACGUGCUUAGGAUGCUGGCAAAAUGGCUUUAAUCGACCCGUCUUGAAACACGG
Molecule: ribosomal RNA, 659 nt
Filed under: uncultured fungus
Lineage: Eukaryota; Fungi
Description: eukaryotic LSU rRNA
Rfam family: Eukaryotic large subunit ribosomal RNA
Source: RNAcentral